This 759-nucleotide long non-coding RNA is filed under the name Chinchilla lanigera (long-tailed chinchilla). RNAcentral's name for it is "lncRNA (ENSCLAG00000022963.1)". The record is from RNAcentral. Lineage: Eukaryota; Metazoa; Chordata; Mammalia; Rodentia; Chinchillidae.
CGUCGCUUCCUUGAAAGUUGAAGGAGUUCCCUGGGGGCCUCGGCGCUUUCCGGGCUCCUUCCUGUCGCCGGGGCGGCCGGGGUCUCCCCGAAGGGCCGGACCCCCGGCGCGGGCGUUCUCCCCGGGUGUCGGACUUGGAGAAGUUCCCCACUUCUGCUUGGGGAGGAGGUUGGGGUAACGGGGCGGAACGCCGAGGGCCGAGGUAUGCGCGUGUGGCUGGCUGUCGGUGUUGGGGGCGGUGUUUGGGGCGGUGUCCCGGGCCGGGGGCACCUGCGCGCGCGGACAGCCGGCCCCGCCGGGGGACGGGAGACGGCGCCGAGCGAGAGGCUGCGGCGGGAACCGCUGUCCCCCGCCAUCCAGUUGUUACUGUAUUAGGUCUUCCCUGGAUACAUUUUUCUGGUAAUUUUAAUUACCUCUCUCUGAUAGUAUUUCCUUCCCUGAUUUAUUACUUUUUUUCAUUGAGAACUUUUCAUUCUGAUCAUACAUGUUGUAUAUUCCUUAUUCACCUUCUGUUAUAGUUCCCCCCACCACUAGAAUCUAAGCUCUGUGAGGUCAGAUGUCACAUACUGGCUUAGGGAUUUUUUCCUAGCACCUAGGAAAGUGCCUGGUUGUAUUCUCCAUAAACAUGUUACGAAUGAAUUACGCAUUGAAUUGUAUGCCACGCACUGACUAGACAUUGAGGAUGUAAAAAAUGAACAAAGUAUGAAGUUCAGUUUUUGAAAAAAGCGUGUAUAUACAUAUAUAUCUCAAUAUAUGUAU